Molecule: long non-coding RNA, 345 nt
Filed under: Oryctolagus cuniculus (rabbit)
Lineage: Eukaryota; Metazoa; Chordata; Mammalia; Lagomorpha; Leporidae
Description: lncRNA (ENSOCUG00000035989.1)
Source: RNAcentral
UCCCCGGAAACCUCGCAGCUGGGCUCUGCAACACAGAACCGUCUGUCACUGCCUAGGGCCACCUGACGACCGGAAAUGCUUGCUUACCGGGUAGACCUGCCAGAGAAUGUAAAACAUCUUUUAUUGCUUGGGUUAUUCUAUUUCUAUCAGAUCAUGUAGCUGACAGUCCAUCAUUUCUGUGCAAAUUUGUCUGGUUGGAUUUUUAGAUUCCAUUGUAGAGUCUUCUAUUAAUCCCCACGCGUUCCUGUUUCUUGGAUCUGACAUGUCAUUCCAGUCAGGCAGUGGGAUCUUUUGGAAUUUUGAUGUCACGUGUUUGUAGCCCCCUUUAGCUUCGCACUCUCCACA